UACGAAGGGUGCAAGCGUUACUCGGAAUUACUGGGCGUAAAGCGUGCGUAGGUGGUUCGUUAAGUCUGAUGUGAAAGCCCUGGGCUCAACCUGGGAAUUGCAUUGGAUACUGGCGGGCUAGAGUGCGGUAGAGGAUGGCGGAAUUCCCGGUGUAGCAGUGAAAUGCGUAGAGAUCGGGAGGAACAUCUGUGGCGAAGGCGGCCAUCUGGACCAGCACUGGCACUGAGGCACGAAAGCGUGGGGAGCACACAGG
Molecule: ribosomal RNA, 253 nt
Filed under: uncultured bacterium
Lineage: Bacteria
Description: partial 16S ribosomal RNA
Rfam family: Bacterial small subunit ribosomal RNA
Source: RNAcentral